GAUGAACGCUGGCGGCGUGCUUAACACAUGCAAGUCGAGCGAGUGAGUUCUUCGGAACGAUCUAGCGGCGGACGGGUGAGUAACACGUGGGCAACCUGCCUCAUAGAGGGGAAUAGCCUCCCGAAAGGGAGAUUAAUACCGCAUAACAUCGUUGAAGGGCAUCCUUCGAUGAUCAAAGGAGCAAUCCGCUAUGAGAUGGGCCCGCGGCGCAUUAGCUAGUUGGUGAGGGAACGGCUCACCAAGGCGACGGUGCGUAGCCGACCGGAGAGGGGGAUAGGCCACAUUGGGACUGAGACACGGCCCAGACUCUUACGGGAGGCAGCAGUGGGGAAUAUUGCACAAUGGGGGAAACCCUGAUGCAGCAACGCCGCGUGAGUGAUGACGGCCUUCGGGUUGUAAAGCUCUGUCUUUGGGGACGAUAAUGACGGUACCCAAGGAGGAAGUCACGGCUAACUACGUGCCAGCAGCCGCUGUAA
This 476-nucleotide ribosomal RNA is filed under the name uncultured bacterium. RNAcentral describes it as "partial 16S ribosomal RNA". It matches the Rfam family "Bacterial small subunit ribosomal RNA", at positions 28 to 523 of the family's 1533-position model. The record is from RNAcentral.